RNAcentral lists this ribosomal RNA (500 nucleotides) under uncultured bacterium. RNAcentral's name for it is "partial 16S ribosomal RNA". It matches the Rfam family "Bacterial small subunit ribosomal RNA", at positions 30 to 523 of the family's 1533-position model. The record is from RNAcentral.
AUUAAACGCUGGCGGCAUGCCUUACACAUGCAAGUCGAACGGCAGCACGGGAGCGAUCCUGGUGGCGAGUGGCGAACGGGUGAGUAAAGUAUCGGAACGUGCCCAGUCGUGGGGGAUAACGUAGCGAAAGUUACGCUAAUACCGCAUACGAUCUAUGGAUGAAAGCGGGGGAUCGCAAGACCUCGCGCGAUUGGAGCGGCCGAUAUCAGAUUAGGUAGUUGGUGGGGUAAAGGCUCACCAAGCCGACGAUCUGUAGCUGGUCUGAGAGGACGACCAGCCACACUGGGACUGAGACACGGCCCAGACUCCUACGGGAGGCAGCAGUGGGGAAUUUUGGACAAUGGGCGCAAGCCUGAUCCAGCCAUGCCGCGUGCAGGAUGAAGGCCUUCGGGUUGUAAACUGCUUUUGUACGGAACGAAAAGGUUUGACUUAAUACGUUGGACUCAUGACGGUACCGUAAGAAUAAGCACCGGCUAACUACGUGCCAGCAGCCGCAGUAA